GCCUGGUUGGCUCAGUGGGUAAAGCAUGUGACUCGUGAUCUUGGGGUUGUGAGUUCAAGCCCCACGUUGGGUA
This 73-nucleotide transfer RNA is filed under the name Mustela putorius furo (domestic ferret). It matches the Rfam family "tRNA". Rfam says of the family: Transfer RNA (tRNA) molecules are approximately 80 nucleotides in length. Lineage: Eukaryota; Metazoa; Chordata; Mammalia; Carnivora; Mustelidae. The record is from Rfam by way of RNAcentral.